UGCAUUCUCCAGGCUAGCUGGCACAC
Molecule: non-coding RNA, 26 nt
Filed under: Mus musculus (house mouse)
Lineage: Eukaryota; Metazoa; Chordata; Mammalia; Rodentia; Muridae
Source: RNAcentral